RNAcentral lists this ribosomal RNA (204 nucleotides) under Anaerococcus sp. Its description in RNAcentral is "partial 16S ribosomal RNA". It matches the Rfam family "Bacterial small subunit ribosomal RNA", at positions 1 to 187 of the family's 1533-position model. Lineage: Bacteria; Bacillati; Bacillota; Tissierellia; Tissierellales; Peptoniphilaceae. The record is from RNAcentral.
UUUCAUGAGAGUUUGAUCCUGGCUCAGGAUUAACGCUGGCGGCGUGCAUAACACAUGCAAGUCGAACGAUGAAACUUUACUGACUUCUUCGGAAAGAUUUAAAGCGGAUUAGUGGCGGACGGGUGAGUAACGCGUGAGUAACCUGCCUUACACAAGGGGAUAGCCGUUGGAAACGACGAAUAAUACCCUAUGAAACUAUCACUU